Molecule: transfer RNA, 76 nt
Filed under: Streptococcus mutans
Lineage: Bacteria; Bacillati; Bacillota; Bacilli; Lactobacillales; Streptococcaceae
Also listed under: 3 other names
Description: tRNA-Lys
Rfam family: tRNA
About the family: Transfer RNA (tRNA) molecules are approximately 80 nucleotides in length. Their secondary structure includes four short double-helical elements and three loops (D, anti-codon, and T loops). Further hydrogen bonds mediate the characteristic L-shaped molecular structure. tRNAs have two regions of fundamental functional importance: the anti-codon, which is responsible for specific mRNA codon recognition, and the 3' end, to which the tRNAs corresponding amino acid is attached (by aminoacyl-tRNA synthetases). tRNAs cope with the degeneracy of the genetic code in two manners: having more than one tRNA (with a specific anti-codon) for a particular amino acid; and 'wobble' base-pairing, i.e. permitting non-standard base-pairing at the 3rd anti-codon position.
Source: RNAcentral
GAGCCAUUAGCUCAGUUGGUAGAGCACCUGACUUUUAAUCAGGGGGUCGUAGGUUCGAAUCCUACAUGGCUCACCA